AUAGCGUAUACUAAUAUUGCUGUUGUUAAAAAGCUCGUAGUUGGAUCUCGGUUUCGGGCGGGUGGUGCGCCUUGCGGCGUUUACUGUCUGCCCGGACGAUUUUGUUGGUACGUUCAUGGUGCUCUUCAUCGGGUGCCUUGAGUGGCCAGCACGUUUACUUUGAAAAAAUUGGAGUGCUCAAAGCAGGCGCUACAGCCUGAACAAUUGUGCAUGGAAUAAUGGAAUAGGAUCUCGGUUCUAUUUCGUUGGCUUUCGGAGUCGAGGUAAUGAUUAAUAGGGACAGACGGGGGCAUUCGUACUGCGACGUUAGAGGUGAAAUUCUUGGAUCGUCGCAAGACGAACUACUG
RNAcentral lists this ribosomal RNA (347 nucleotides) under uncultured eukaryote. Its description in RNAcentral is "SSU rRNA". It matches the Rfam family "Eukaryotic small subunit ribosomal RNA", at positions 594 to 945 of the family's 1831-position model. The record is from RNAcentral.